GAUGAACGCUGGCGGCGUGCCUAAUACAUGCAAGUCGAGCGAACAGAUGAGGAGCUUGCUCCUCUGACGUUAGCGGCGGACGGGUGAGUAACACGUGGAUAACCUACCUAUAAGACUGGGAUAACUUCGGGAAACCGGAGCUAAUACCGGAUAAUAUAUUGAACCGCAUGGUUCAAUAGUGAAUGACGGUUUUGCUGUCACUUAUAGAUGGAUCCGCGCCGCAUUAGCUAGUUGGUAAAGUAACGGCUUACCAAGGCAACGAUGCGUAGCCGACCUGAGAUGGUGAUCGGCCACACUGGAACUGAGACACGGUCCAGACUCCUACGGGAGGCAGCAGUAGGGAAUCUUCCGCAAUGGGCGAAAGCCUGACGGAGCAACGCCGCGUGAGUGAUGAAGGUCUUCGGAUCGUAAAACUCUGUUAUUAGGGAAGAACAAAUGUGUAAGUAACUAUGCACGUCUUGACGGUACCUAAUCAGAAAGCAACGGCUAACUACGUG
This 497-nucleotide ribosomal RNA is filed under the name uncultured bacterium. Its description in RNAcentral is "partial 16S ribosomal RNA". It matches the Rfam family "Bacterial small subunit ribosomal RNA", at positions 28 to 507 of the family's 1533-position model. The record is from RNAcentral.